UACGUAGGUGGCAAGCGUUGUCCGGAAUUAUUGGGCGUAAAGCGCGCGCAGGUGGUUCUUUAAGUCUGAUGUGAAAUCUCGCGGCUCAACCGCGAGCGGUCAUUGGAAACUGGGGAACUUGAGUGCAGAAGAGGAAAGUGGAAUUCCACGUGUAGCGGUGAAAUGCGUAGAGAUGUGGAGGAACACCAGUGGCGAAGGCGACUUUCUGGUCUGUAACUGACACUGAGGCGCGGAAAAGCGUGGGGAGCGAACAGG
This 255-nucleotide ribosomal RNA is filed under the name uncultured bacterium. Its description in RNAcentral is "partial 16S ribosomal RNA". It matches the Rfam family "Bacterial small subunit ribosomal RNA", at positions 524 to 776 of the family's 1533-position model. The record is from RNAcentral.